UCAGAUUGCAGUCUGCAACUCGACUGCAUGAAGUCGGAAUCGCUAGUAAUCGCGGAUCAGCAUGCCGCGGUGAAUACGUUCCCGGGCCUUGUACACACCGCCCGUCACACCAUGAGAGUCGGGAACACCCGAAGUCCGUAGCCUAACCGCAAGGAGGGCGCGGCCGAAGGUGGGUUCGAUAAUUGGGUGAAGUCGUAACAAGGUACC
Molecule: ribosomal RNA, 207 nt
Filed under: uncultured bacterium
Lineage: Bacteria
Description: partial 16S ribosomal RNA
Rfam family: Bacterial small subunit ribosomal RNA
Source: RNAcentral